GACGAACGCUGGCGGCGUGCCUAACACAUGCAAGUCGAGCGGGGACUUGGGAGCUUGCUUCCAAGUCCUAGCGGCGGACGGGUGAGUAACGCGUGAGCAACCUGCCUCAAACAGGGGGAUAACGCAUCGAAAGAUGUGCUAAUACCGCGUAAGACCACAGUACCACAUGGUACAGGGGUCAAAGGAGCAAUCCGGUUUGAGAUGGGCUCGCGUCCGAUUAGCUAGUUGGCAGGGUGAUAGCCUACCAAGGCGACGAUCGGUAGCCGACCUGAGAGGGUGAUCGGCCACAUUGGAACUGAGAUACGGUCCAA
RNAcentral lists this ribosomal RNA (311 nucleotides) under uncultured bacterium. RNAcentral describes it as "bacterial SSU rRNA". It matches the Rfam family "Bacterial small subunit ribosomal RNA", at positions 28 to 334 of the family's 1533-position model. The record is from RNAcentral.